CAAUGGGCGAAAGCCUGAUGGUGCGACGCCGCGUGGAGGAUGACAGCCCUAGGGUUGUAAACUCCUGUCAUGAGAGAGUAAAGACUUAACGUAAAUACCGUUGGGUCCUGAUAGUAUCUCAAGAGGAAGGGACGGCUAACUUCGUGCCAGCAGCCGCGGUAAUACGAAGGUCCCAAGCGUUGUUCGGAAUUACUGGGCGUAAAGCGUGCGUAGGUGGCAUGGUAAGUCAGAUGUGAAAUCCCGGGGCUCAACCCCGGAACUGCAUCCGAUACUGCCAAGCUAGAGUAGUGGAGGGGAGUCUGGAAUUCACGGUGUAGCAGUGAAAUGCGUAGAUAUCGUGAGGAACACUAGUGGCGAAGGCGAGACUCUGGACACUAACUGACACUGAGGCACGAAGGCUAGGGUAGCGAAAGGGAUUAGAUACCCCUGUAGUCCUAGCAGUAAACGGUGCGCGUUUGGUGUGGGCGGGUUCGACCCCGUCCGUGCCGAAGCUAACGCGUUAAACGCGCCGCCUGGGGAGUACGGCCGCAAGGCUAAAACUCAAAGAAAUUGACGGGGACCCGCACAAGCGGUGGAGUAUGUGGCUUAAUUCGAUGCAACGCGAAGAACCUUACCUAGGCUUGACAUGCUUGUCGUAGUUCUGUGAAAGCAGAUCGUCAGUUCGGCUGGACUUGCACAGGUGCUGCAUGGCUGUCGUCAGCUCGUGUCGUGAGAUGUUGGGUUAAGUCCCGCAACGAGCGCAACCCCUAUGAUUAGUUGCCAGCGAGUAAUGUCGGGGACUCUAGUCAGACUGCCUGUAUUAAACAGGAGGAAGGUGGGGACGACGUCAAGUCAGUAUGGCCCUUACGCCUAGGGCUGCACACGUACUACAAUGCCCAGUACAAUGUGAACCGAUACCGUAAGGUGGAGGAAAUCCUUAAAACUGGGCUCAGUUCGGAUUGUGGGCUGCAACUCGCCCACAUGAAGCUGGAAUCGCUAGUAAUGGCACAUCAGCUACGGUGCCGUGAAUACGUUCCCGGGUCUUGUACACACCGCCCGUCACAUCAUGGAAG
Molecule: ribosomal RNA, 1052 nt
Filed under: marine metagenome
Description: bacterial SSU rRNA
Rfam family: Bacterial small subunit ribosomal RNA
Source: RNAcentral